Molecule: long non-coding RNA, 459 nt
Filed under: Androctonus crassicauda
Lineage: Eukaryota; Metazoa; Arthropoda; Arachnida; Scorpiones; Buthidae
Source: RNAcentral
GUUUUGUUAUUUGACUUAAAUACAACAGUAGAAUGAAUAGUAAAUCUCCGAUUAGUCGUGUCAGUGAAAUGGUGAUGUCUCUUCCUAUUCACUCUAAACCUAUCUUCCUUAGUUACCUAGACAACUAUCAAAUUCGUUUUAUUUCGCAGCAUCUUCAAAUGUUAGUUCCUGACAUAAUACUCGAUGAUAAGUCAGCCACUUCCUUCCUAGACAGAUCUGACAAACUUUUUGCAUGGGACUGUACAUAUCAGAUUGCUAGCUAUAAUCAUACUGGUUUUUGUCAUUUUAGAAUCUGUUGAAAAUAAUAGAGCAUCUUGUAGGUAUGAGCUUAAUACUUAAUUCCUUUGCUAUAUUUUUAAUUGGUUUCAAUGUUGUCUCAUAUGGCAUCUGCACAUAUUUAGGCCCAACUGAUAUAAUUUUAUUAGUAUUUUCAUAAAAAUUAAAGCUUUGUAUUUGCUG